This 67-nucleotide transfer RNA is filed under the name Marmota monax (woodchuck). RNAcentral describes it as "tRNA.Ala". The record is from RNAcentral. Lineage: Eukaryota; Metazoa; Chordata; Mammalia; Rodentia; Sciuridae.
GGUUGUGGCUUAGUGGUAGAGUGCUCCCCUAGCAUGCGUGAGCCACUGGGUUUGAUCCUCGGCACCG